UAGCCUUCGCCCUUUCGAGGUUCUCCGGCCAGGCGCCGGAGCUAAGAGGGAACGUGGUCCAAACCACGGCUGCCCCCGCAACUGUGAACAGCUGAUGUCUUAUCCACAGCCACUGCCCCUCGGGCGGGAAGGCGGAGAGACGGCGCAACGCGCCAGGCUGUGAGCCAGGAGACCUGCCUCGACGAUAUUCCAGAC
This 195-nucleotide non-coding RNA is filed under the name Metapseudomonas resinovorans. RNAcentral also lists the same sequence under 1 other name. Lineage: Bacteria; Pseudomonadati; Pseudomonadota; Gammaproteobacteria; Pseudomonadales; Pseudomonadaceae. The record is from RNAcentral.